RNAcentral lists this ribosomal RNA (468 nucleotides) under uncultured bacterium. RNAcentral describes it as "partial 16S ribosomal RNA". It matches the Rfam family "Bacterial small subunit ribosomal RNA", at positions 28 to 507 of the family's 1533-position model. The record is from RNAcentral.
GAUGAACGCUGGCGGCGUGCCUAACACAUGCAAGUCGAACGGAAAGGCCCUGAUUUUGUGGGGUGCUCGAGUGGCGAAGGCGUGAGUAACACGUGAGUAACCUGCCCUUGACUUUGGGGUAACUUCAGGAAAAUGGGGCUAAUAUCGGAUAGGAGAUCCUGCUGCACGGUGGGGGUUGGAAAGUUUCGGCGGUGGGGGAUGGAUUAGCGGCUUAUGAGCUUGUUGGUGGGGUAGUGGCUUACCAAGGCUUUGACGGGUAGCCGGCCUGGGCGGGUGACCGGCGACAAUGGGCCUGCGGGACGCACCAGACGCGUACGGGAGGCAGCAGUCGGAAAUAUUGCACAGUGGGCCGGAGCCUGAUACAGCGACGCCGCGUGCGGAAUGCCGGCCUUCGGGGUAUGAACCGCUUUCGCCUGUGACGAAGCGUGAGUGACGGUAAUGAGUAAAGAAGCACCGGCUAACUACGUG